UACAGAGGGGGCAAGCGUUGUUCGGAAUUACUGGGCGUAAAGGGCGCGUAGGCGGCCUUCUAAGUCAGACGUGAAAUCCCUCGGCUCAACCGGGGAACUGCGUCUGAGACUGGAAGGCUUGAAUUCGGGAGAGGGAUGUGGAAUUCCAGGUGUAGCGGUGAAAUGCGUAGAUAUCUGGAGGAACACCGGUGGCGAAGGCGGCAUCCUGGACCGAGAUUGACGCUGAUGCGCGAAAGCCAGGGGAGCAAACGGG
This 253-nucleotide ribosomal RNA is filed under the name uncultured bacterium. RNAcentral's name for it is "partial 16S ribosomal RNA". It matches the Rfam family "Bacterial small subunit ribosomal RNA", at positions 524 to 776 of the family's 1533-position model. The record is from RNAcentral.